CUUUCCCUCUUUCUUUAGGCCUAACACAUGCAAGUCGAACGGCAGCACAGUAAGAGCUUGCUCUUACGGGUGGCGAGUGGCGGACGGGUGAGGAAUACAUCGGAAUCUACUUUUUCGUGGGGGAUAACGUAGGGAAACUUACGCUAAUACCGCAUACGACCUACGGGUGAAAGCAGGGGAUCUUCGGACCUUGCGCGAUUGAAUGAGCCGAUGUCGGAUUAGCUAGUUGGCGGGGUAAAGGCCCACCAAGGCGACGAUCCGUAGCUGGUCUGAGAGGAUGAUCAGCCACACUGGAACUGAGACACGGUCCAGACUCCUACGGGGGGCAGCAGUGGGGAAUAUUGGACAAUGGGCGCAAGCCUGAUCCAGCCAUACCGCGUGGGUGAAGAAGGCCUUCGGGUUGUAAAGCCCUUUUGUUGGGAAAGAAAAGCAGCAGGUUAAUACCCCGCUGUUCUGACGGUACCCAAAGAAUAAGCACCGGCUAACUUCGUG
Molecule: ribosomal RNA, 492 nt
Filed under: uncultured bacterium
Lineage: Bacteria
Description: partial 16S ribosomal RNA
Rfam family: Bacterial small subunit ribosomal RNA
Source: RNAcentral